This 365-nucleotide ribosomal RNA is filed under the name uncultured microorganism. RNAcentral's name for it is "bacterial SSU rRNA". It matches the Rfam family "Archaeal small subunit ribosomal RNA", at positions 330 to 700 of the family's 1478-position model. The record is from RNAcentral.
GCGCACCAGGCGAGAAACUUUCCAAUGCGUUAACGCGUGAGAAGGGAACCUCGAGUGGUUGCGCUUUGCGUAACCUUUUGCCAAAUCUAGAAAGUUUGGCGAAUAAGUGGUGGGCAAUACGGGUGCCAGCCGCCGCGGUAAUACCCGAGCCACGAAUGGUGAUCACGAUUACUGGGCCUAAAGAGUCUGUAGCCGGUUUAGCUAAGUUCCUGGUAGAAAUCUGGCAGCUAACUGUCAGGAUGGCUGGAAUACUACUAAACUUGGGACCGGAGAGGUCAGAAGUAUUCCUUGGGUAGGGUUAAAUCCUUAAUCCAAGGAGGACUACCUGUGGCGAAGGCGUCUGACUAGAACGGGUCCGACGGUGA